CCGAGUUCGUACCCUCUGGGUAGACCUCCCACCCGCUGUUAUUACUACGAUUGUUGCUUUGGCGGGCCGCCGGGCCCUGCUCGGCCGCCGGCCCCGCCGGCGCGCGCCCGCCAGAGGCCCUUCAAGACUCUGAAUGUUUAGUGUCGUCUGAGUACUAUUUAAUAGUUA
Molecule: unclassified non-coding RNA, 168 nt
Filed under: uncultured Myxotrichaceae
Lineage: Eukaryota; Fungi; Ascomycota; Leotiomycetes; Myxotrichaceae
Description: sequence contains ITS1
Source: RNAcentral